This 872-nucleotide ribosomal RNA is filed under the name uncultured archaeon. RNAcentral's name for it is "bacterial SSU rRNA". It matches the Rfam family "Archaeal small subunit ribosomal RNA", at positions 52 to 937 of the family's 1478-position model. The record is from RNAcentral.
UGCGAGUCGAGAGGGUUCGGCCCUCGGCGUACUGCUCAGUAACACGUGGAUAACCUGCCCUAAGGAAGGGGAUAACCUCGGGAAACUGAGGAUAAUACCCUAUAGGAUACCGAUGCUGGAAUGCCCGGUAUCCCAAAGCUCCGGCGCCUUAGGAUGGAUCUGCGGCCGAUUAGGUCGUUGUUGGGGUAACGGCCCAACAAGCCGAUAAUCGGUACGGGUUGUGGGAGCAAGAGCCCGGAGUUGGAUUCUGAGACACGAAUCCAGGCCCUACGGGGCGCAGCAGGCGCGAAAACUUUACAAUGCGGGCAACCGUGAUAAGGGAACCUCGAGUGCCUGUACAUGCAGGCUGUCUGGGUGUCUAAAACACACCCAAAGAAAGGGCCGGGCAAGACCGGUGCCAGCCGCCGCGGUAAUACCGGCGGCUCGAGUGGUGGCCACUUUUAUUGGGCUUAAAGCGUUCGUAGCUGGGUUGUUAAGUCUCUUGGGAAAUCUGGCAGCUUAACUGUCAGGCGUCUAAGGGAUACUGGCAAUCUAGGAACCGGGAGAGGUGAGGGGUACUUCGGGGGUAGGAGUGAAAUCCUGUAAUCCUCGAGGGACCACCUGUGGCGAAGGCGCCUCACCAGAACGGCUUCGACAGUGAGGGACGAAAGCUGGGGGAGCAAACCGGAUUAGAUACCCGGGUAGUCCCAGCCGUAAACGAUGCGCGUUAGGUGUGUCGAUGACCACGAGUCAUCGAGGUGCCGAAGGGAAACCGUGAAACGCGCCGCCUGGGAAGUACGGUCGCAAGGCUGAAACUUAAAGGAAUUGGCGGGGGAGCAAAUCACUAGUGCGGCCGCCUGCAGGUCGACCAUAUGGGAGAGCUCCCAACGCGU